UACGUAGGGGGCGAGCGUUGUCCGGAUUUAUUGGGCGUAAAGAGCUCGUAGGCGGUUUGGUAAGUCGGGUGUGAAAUCUCCACGCUCAACGUGGAGGGGCCACUCGAUACUGCCAUGACUCGAGUCCGGUAGAGGAGUGUGGAAUUCCCGGUGUAGCGGUGAAAUGCGCAGAUAUCGGGAGGAACACCGGUGGCGAAGGCGGUUCUCUGGGCCUGUGCUGACGCUGAGGAGCGAAAGCGUGGGGAGCGAACAGG
This 254-nucleotide ribosomal RNA is filed under the name uncultured bacterium. RNAcentral describes it as "partial 16S ribosomal RNA". It matches the Rfam family "Bacterial small subunit ribosomal RNA", at positions 524 to 776 of the family's 1533-position model. The record is from RNAcentral.